AUGUGUUUUUGCUGCAAUAGUCACAGCGAAGAACAGGCACCUCUCACAGCCGCCGCCUUCUCCCUACCGCACACAGAUCAAACAGCGAUUUUCAUUAUCCCCGCUAUACAGAUGAAGGGCCUGAGGCCCAGAGAGGGAACAUGGCUUGUGGCCAACAUGUUACGUGGAUCCCAAGCAGCGUGGUCACGACCUGGACUGGGUGGUUUGAAUUCAGGCAUCUCUACAGGUGGACCUCCGCUUACUGUGCUUCACAACAAAUUGAAGUGGCCUGGAACUGAUCCAAAAAUCUCUCCGAGAUCUGCUUGUACCUGAGCCCUAACCCAUAGAAAUGUCUCUCUCCCCUCUCCCCCCCUCCUCCUGACUCCCCUGAAGCCUGCACCUUCUGAUGCAGGAAUUCAAGACAUGCAGGUAUCUUUAGAACCCUUCCCCACCGUCCCUGUGUCAGAGGUCAAGAUACCUGGAUCUGUGAGGAAUGAAAUGAAGUGGGUUUAAUAAUUCAGUUUUGCUUUCCUAAGAAAACCAUGCCUUCCUUUUUGCCUUCCCUCUCCCUCUAAGCUGCUCUGUACACAGACUUGUUUACAUUUUAGCCUUUUCCCCUAGGUGGUGCCCAGGAGAGUCCAGGUGGUUCGAGUCAGUUCAGUAACCAAGUGCUGAGUCGGAAGGCCUGGGAAGGGAGACCUUAGUCAGACCCCAGGGUUCACAUCCCAGCUCUCCCAGGAGGUAGCGCAGAUUGUGACCAAGUGGCUUCAUCUCCCCUCUCCUGCGUCCUCAUCUGUAAAAGGCAGGUUAACAAUAACAGCACCUUCUCCGAGGCUCCUUCUGAGGGUAGAAUGAGAUGGAUGCCCCUCUGGCAUACCGCAAGAGCUCAGUAAUGUUUGGUGUUGCCUUUACAGUAAGAGCUCAAUAAUGUUUGCUUUUAUUCUUAGCAAAAGUGAGGUCCGACUGCUUGCCUCUUUGAAACCGAUAAAGAGACAAGCUUGGUGGAAAGUUUACUUUAUUUUGGAGGCUGGCAAAUGGUGGUUGGAAGUCGGGGGGCGGACUCCUGUCCAAAGGUCAGCUCCCCUUCCUGGACAUCCAGUGGGCAAGAGCUUUUAUAGACACAGGGAGGGGCUGCAGGCAGAAACUGC
Molecule: long non-coding RNA, 1127 nt
Filed under: Capra hircus (goat)
Lineage: Eukaryota; Metazoa; Chordata; Mammalia; Artiodactyla; Bovidae
Description: lncRNA (ENSCHIG00010011369.1)
Source: RNAcentral